GACCUCCAAGGGGAUGCCCGAGUCUCCCUUUACUCUGGGACAAAACUUGGUUUUGGUUUCUUGGGUUUCUCAUUGACGAAUCCUGAACAUGUUUGCUUUCACUUCAUUUCUUUGUUCCAGUGUUUUCUCUGCUGUUUUCACACCUCUCUGGAUAAUCUUUCCAAGUUCCUUAUAGAAAACAAGAAAGAUUAUUUACCAGCAGUCUUCCUGGUCCCCGGCUUGUCAGCCUCGGUGCAUUCCAGUGAACUCCUGUGACACCUUACCCAGUAGCUGUGGCUCGCAGCAUGUACAGCGUUUGUUCUCUCUGUUCUAUUGAUGGCUUCCUUUUCCAAGUCAGUUCUUUGCCUGGAUCUCUAGGAUCUCUGUCUCACUGCCACCGUUACCUGAUGUAGGGGGUUCACCCUACAGCAUUUCUGUUGCUGUAAAAAGACCCUCUGCUGUAUCUUUUGGCAUGGAGAAUUUCUCUUAUUGUAUUUUAGAAGCAAGAGAUUAUGCAGAAAUGGAUCCAUGGAUGGGGGUGGAGUUUAUCUUUCUGGUUUCUGUACAGUAAAAACUCUCAUUAUGCCUGUCCUAGACUGAGCCCCUCAUUCUAGAAGCUGGUCCACUUCUGGACGUAACACCUGAGCUGAAAAUGUUUCUUUUUGCCCAUGCUCAUUUUACUUCAGUUUCCAACAGAAGAGAAUCCUGACGCAUACAGAAAUGAGUCCUGCCACAGGAGAUUACAAAGAUCAAGCUCUACAAAGUAAAAUUGCUGGAGUGCCCAUCUGUGAUCACAAGAAGACGGAAACUACAGGGAUCAUCAGGAGAAAAGGAGAUAAAACCCCCAUAUGCAAGAUGUCCUCUUUACACUGAAAGGCAGCUCACAUUGUCAUCUCCAGGAAUGGGAAGUUGAAGCCCAGCGAAAUCUGUGCAAACAAACAUUGUUAAGCUAACCCUUAUCUUCCUAAUUACUUCUGUACUCAGUUAACUACCUAGUCCAGGCCCUUUUGAUUGUCCUUGUCACAUUUUCCCAAUUUACUACUCUUCCCCCACUUUUUAAAUUUUAAAACAAUUUGCUAUUUAUUAUUUUUUAAACUUUUUUUUUUUUCUUUUUGUCUUUUUCCCAACUCCCCAUCCAUUUUUUUUUAAGAGACAGGGUCUUGCUCUGUUAUCCAGGCUGGAGUGCAGUGGUACCAUCAUAGCCAGUGGCACCAUCACAGUUCACUACAGCCUCAACCUCCUGGGCUCAAGCAAUCAUCCUACCUCAGCCUCCCAAGUAGCUGAUACUAGAGGCAUAUGCCACAGGGCCCGCUAAUUUUAAAAUUUUUUAGUAGAAACUGGGUCUCACUGUAAGAUUUAAAGAAGGAGGAAAGAAACACGAAAAGUGGCUGAACAGUCAAAAAAAGGUUUAUUUUGGAGAAUAACCCUGAAAGGUGCCCUGAGAGGCCAGUAGUAACUUCAGUGGAGGAAGAGGCUGGGCACAGAGUGCACGGAGCCUGGGCAUGGUGAGAGCGCAGGCUCCUGGACAGGCAUUCAGGGCAGAGGACUGGGCUGGCGGGGCAGAACACGGAGAGGAAGCUUUGCAUCCUGUGGAGGACAAACCAAUGUGCAUGUGGUUGUUCUGGACAGGCAGGUAGCUGUAUUGAGACUCAGGGACUGGUCCACACAACCCACAAAGUCUUGUCAAGAAACCUACUGAAUAAAAAGUUUAUUAACAAACAGCCUUGCAAAACAGCUCUUGCCACUCAUUUCUGAGGCAUGUAAUGGUUCUACAACCCCUUCAACCU
Long non-coding RNA from Callithrix jacchus (white-tufted-ear marmoset), 1766 nucleotides. RefSeq lists it as uncharacterized. Lineage: Eukaryota; Metazoa; Chordata; Mammalia; Primates; Cebidae. The record is from RefSeq and is a predicted model, not a curated record.